GUCAGCAUCGAUGGCUUGCACGUGGAUGACGGAGUAGCCCACGGGCACGUUCUCCAGCACGGUGGCCUGGAAGGGCGUGCUGACAAAGAUGGGCGCGUUGUCGUUGACAUCCAGCACCUGCACGGUGACCAAGCCGCUGAUGUUGGAGAGGGGUGGGCGGCCGCCGUCCUGCGCGCGGAUGCGCAGGGUGUACUCCUUGCUGGCCUCGUAGUCCAGCGGGCUGACCACGUCCAGCGCGCCCGUCUGCGCGUCGAUGUAGAAGUGGCCGCGGGUGUUGCCGCUGACGAUGCUGUAGUGCACCAGGGCGUUGCUGCCCUUGUCGCGGUCGGUGGCCGUCACCCGCAGCACGGCCGAGUUGGGCGCCACGUCCUCAGGUACCUGCGCGAUGUAACGCUUCUCGCUGAACUGCGGCGCGUUGUCGUUGUCGUCCUCUACCACGAUGCGCACGGUGGCCGUGGCGCUGCGGGGCCCCGGCUCCUGGCCCUGGUCCGUGGCCUCCACCAGCAGCUCGAACGCCUCCACGACCUCGCGGUCCACAGGGCCGCGUGUGCGGAUGACGCCCGAGCGGGGAUCGAUCUCGAAGACCUCGUUGGCCCCGCCAGCGUUGAGGAGGCGGUAGAGGACAUUGGCGUUGGGGCCGGCGUCGCCGUCGGUGGCCCGCACCGUCAGCACCUCGUAGCCCACCUCCAGGUUCUCCCGCACGCUCUCACGGUACUCGGGCUGCUCGAACGCUGGGUCGUGGUCAUUGGCAUCGCUCACCGUCACCGUCAGCGUGGCCAUGGCACUGCGCCGCGGCACCCCGUGGUCCACCGCCGUCACCCGGAAGACGUGGGUGCUCUUGCUCUCGCGGUCCAGUGGGGCGGCCGUGGUGACGGCGCCGGUGACGGGGUCCAUGGCGAAGAGGGCGUCGGAGCGGCUGUCGAAGAGCGCGGCCAUGGUGUAGUGCAGCCGCCCCGCCUCGCCCGCGUCGGGGUCCACCGCCGUCAGCCGCGCCACCGCCGUCCCCGCCGGCCGGUUCUCCGCCACCGACGCCUGGUAGCUGGAGGGCUGGAACUGCGGUGCCGUGUUGGGGCUGCGGCGCCGGCGGGAGCGCCCCGUGCCCGCGGGGACCCGCGUGGUGCUGGCGGCCCCAGGGCUCGUGGCGGCCCCCGCGGUCGCGGUGGCCCCGGGACUCGCGGUGCCGCCGGUGCACGCGGUGCGCUCGGUGCUCCCGGCGCCUCCACGGCCUCCGGCACCCCCAGGGGUCCCGGUGCCGCUGCACUCCCCGGUGCCACGGGAAGCCCCAGCGCUGCCGGUGCUGGAAGCGCCGGCGCCUGCCGCAGGCCCAGAGCCGCCGCCGUCCCCGCCGCCGCCGCCGCCGCC
Molecule: long non-coding RNA, 1362 nt
Filed under: Anser brachyrhynchus (Pink-footed goose)
Lineage: Eukaryota; Metazoa; Chordata; Aves; Anseriformes; Anatidae
Description: lncRNA (ENSABRG00000000922.1)
Source: RNAcentral